UACGAAGGGGGCUAGCGUUGCUCGGAAUCACUGGGCGUAAAGGGUGCGUAGGCGGGUCUUUAAGUCAGGGGUGAAAUCCUGGAGCUCAACUCCAGAACUGCCUUUGAUACUGAGGAUCUUGAGUUCGGGAGAGGUGAGUGGAACUGCGAGUGUAGAGGUGAAAUUCGUAGAUAUUCGCAAGAACACCGGUGGCGAAGGCGGCUCACUGGCCCGAUACUGACGCUGAGGCGCGAAAGCGUGGGGAGCAAACGGG
RNAcentral lists this ribosomal RNA (253 nucleotides) under uncultured bacterium. Its description in RNAcentral is "partial 16S ribosomal RNA". It matches the Rfam family "Bacterial small subunit ribosomal RNA", at positions 524 to 776 of the family's 1533-position model. The record is from RNAcentral.